AAAAAAGAGAAAAAAUUAGCUCGGGCAAGAUGCAUUUUCUAAUGUUCCCAAAUUUAAAAGUUGCCUCCGGUCUCUAACCCUCGCCCCUCUGACAACCCUCCGCUCAGUCAACGCCUAGCCCCCUCCCUCACAAACCCUAGCCCCUCUCUCACAACCCUCUCCUCUCUCGUAGCCGUGCCUUCACUCUCACCAGGCCUCCCUCCACUAUCUCUCAAUCCUCUGCGACUUCUCUCACAGACCCUCAAGCGAGGACCCCAUACACGCUACCUCAUCUUCUUCAAGCGAUGAUUCGAGGAUUUAUUUGCAGGCUUUCAUCUUCUUCAACAAGAUGUCUAGGCCCAAUUCUGCCUCCAAACGCUGGAGCACAAAACCGGAUAAGGUUGUCCCUGUGGGUGCUGCUGCCACCAAAGGUCGUCCCUGUCGCUGCUGCUUCCACCAAAUGGAGCACAAACCCAACUAAGGUCAUCUCCGCUGCUUCCGCCACCGCCGCUGCUGCUGCCACCGCCGCUGCUGCCACCGCUGUCGAAUGUUUGCCCCCUAAGGUCAUCAUCACCAUCAACAAACCCUGCUCAAGGUCGUGAUCACCAUCAACUGCCCUGCUAAGGUCAUCAUCACCGUCAACUGCACCUAACAGAGGCAUGUUCUUGAGAGGAAAGUUCCAUCAAGCAAUUGCCUUUUGGUUGAAUCAAUUGAGAAAUGGAUGCCCCCCAUAUAUUAUAACUCCCUCUAUCCUGGUUGAAUUACUAUGGAAACAUUGCCGUAUAGAAAGGCAUAGAAUGAGCGAUGGAGGUCUUAGAUGAAUUGGAAAUCAAGGGUUGUUAUGUUGACGUAGUUCUGUAUAAUUCUCUUAUUAGUUCUGCUUGUACAGUGCUAGUUUGACGAUGUUGGGAUGUCCCUUUAUGAUUUUGUUAUCGAGGGGGUUAGAGCCCAACGCGAUAACGUUCAACACUUUGCUCCAUUUUAUUUGUAUCCUUGGCAGAUGGCAAGAGGCUGAAGAACUUUUCCC
Amborella trichopoda is the source of this 1006-nucleotide long non-coding RNA. RefSeq lists it as uncharacterized. The record is from RefSeq and is a predicted model, not a curated record. NCBI's taxonomy places the organism in Eukaryota, Viridiplantae, Streptophyta, Magnoliopsida, Amborellales, Amborellaceae.